CCUACGGGGUGCAGCAGUAGGGAAUAUUGCUCAAUGGGGGAAACCCUGAAGCAGCAACGCCGCGUGGAGGAUGAAGGUUUUCGGAUUGUAAACUCCUUUUGUUAGAGAAGAUAAUGACGGUAUCUAACGAAAAAGCAUCGGCUAACUCCGUGCCAGCAGCCGCGGUAAUACGGAGGCUGCGAGCGUUAUCCGGAUUUAUUGGGUUUAAAGGGUGCGCAGGCGGCGAGUUAAGCCAGCGGUAAAAUUUCGGGGCCAAACCCCGACAAGCCGUUGAAACUGGCUUGCUAGAGUGGGCGAGAAGUAUGCGGAAUGCGUGGUGUAGCGGUGAAAUGCAUAGAUAUCACGCAGAACUCCGAUUGCGAAGGCAGCAUACCGGCGCCCAACUGACGCUCAGGCACGAAAGCGUGGGUAUCGAACAGGAUUAGAUACCCCAGUAGUC
Molecule: ribosomal RNA, 439 nt
Filed under: uncultured bacterium
Lineage: Bacteria
Description: partial 16S ribosomal RNA
Rfam family: Bacterial small subunit ribosomal RNA
Source: RNAcentral